UUAAGUCCCGCAACGAGCGCAACCCCCUAUUGUUAGUUGCCAUCAUUCAGUUUGGGCACUCUAGCGAGACUGCCGGUAAUAAACCGGAGGAAGGUGGGGAUGACGUCAAAUCAUCAUGCCCCUUAUGACCUGGGCUACACACGUGCUACAAUGGUUGGUACAACGAGUUGCGAGUCGGUGACGGCGAGCUAAUCUCUUAAAGCCAAUCUCAGUUCGGAUUGUAGGCUGCAACUCGCCUACAUGAAGUCGGAAUCGCUAGUAAUCGCGGAUCAGCACGCCGCGGUCGAAUACGUUCCCGGGCCUU
RNAcentral lists this ribosomal RNA (304 nucleotides) under uncultured Streptococcus sp. RNAcentral describes it as "bacterial SSU rRNA". It matches the Rfam family "Bacterial small subunit ribosomal RNA", at positions 1080 to 1382 of the family's 1533-position model. The record is from RNAcentral. Lineage: Bacteria; Bacillati; Bacillota; Bacilli; Lactobacillales; Streptococcaceae.